This 85-nucleotide non-coding RNA is filed under the name Rahnella aquatilis. Lineage: Bacteria; Pseudomonadati; Pseudomonadota; Gammaproteobacteria; Enterobacterales; Yersiniaceae. The record is from RNAcentral.
CUCAAUUCGUGGCUCAGGCAGGGCAAUCUUAAUGGUUGGCCGGUCGCUAGAUCCGGAGUUCCAAACCUGCCUGAGUCACACCUUU